Molecule: long non-coding RNA, 1315 nt
Organism: Mus musculus (house mouse)
Lineage: Eukaryota; Metazoa; Chordata; Mammalia; Rodentia; Muridae
Product: predicted gene, 40869
Exons: 2
Source: RefSeq, a predicted model, not a curated record
CCUGGAAGCUCGCUAGUAGCAGCAGGUAACAGCUUCUGUUUAUGGUGUGGAAUGAUCCAGCUCAAAUGUGAAACAGAAAGAGAAGAACUAGCCAGAGGAGACAGGAAGUUUCACGUGGGCUUAGAAUAGAAGAGUCUGGAGGUGUGAGAUAGCAUCUGCCAUUGCAGCUCCUAAGCUCAACGUGUAGAGGACUGGCCUUAUACACGUCCUCCUCCUGUCUCAGACUCUGAAGUGAAGGAUUAUAGGUGUGCACCAUUAUGCUUGGUGAGAGUAGCCUUAGUGUUAGUUUACUUCGAGAACCUUUUGGACAGCUGAAGCAUGUGAGUCUCUCAAGUGACGCUCAGUUCUGCCAUCAGGACUUGGUGGAGCUGUCCUAGAGGUAAAGCGAGGAGGGAGGUGAAGCUCUAAGGGGUGGAGUCACAGGUUGAGAUUUGGGGAAAGUAACGGAAAUGAGAAAAGAAGAAAAAAAAUUAGACAAAGCUGGCCUCUUAGGAGAUGACUCCUAACAAACCUGUCAGAUUCUAGGAGGCAUCAGGAUACCCACUGCACUUGCUGUGUAUAGCUGCAUUUCUUGGUGAGUUUUAAAAAUAGUCAUAUUUGUUAUCACAGCAUCUCCAGAUAGAUCAGAGGCCUUUUGUUUGCUGCUUAAGAAACAGGAACAGAUGAAACUUCCUGAAGAUCAAAGACCAGAUUGUUGGCAGAAAAUGAUUAGCACCAGCCCGGUUUUCACUGCCGAAGCUCCUCCCCAGCAAGGUUCUUGUUACUGUGUUCUGAGUUAUGAGAAUAACUAGUCGUUCUUGAUGGGCGAGUUAGACUGUUAAGGAACGUGGGCAGUCUCCUCUGUGUGAAGUACCUGUCUGGAUCCCAGUGUGUGGCAUGGUGCCAUACAUUCAGGAUCGGUCUUUCCCUCUCAGCCAGUCUUCUUGGAAACACCCUCACAGGCAUAUCCAGAAGAGUGCUUGGCUAAUGCCCCAGGCAUUUACUAAUGCAAUCAAGUUGACAGAACUAAUCAACAUACCGAGAAAGAUGCCCGCCUUCAUAGCAGAGAGGAAAACCACAUCCCAGGGUUGUCAUUACACCACGACUGUAUGAAGCCAAAGGAGAAGCCAAUGCCCGUGAUUAGAAACCACAUUUUUCUAUUGAGAUUAAAUAAAGGAAACAAGGAAUGUUCUCUGAUCUACAAGGAAGGAAGGUGGAUGAUGAGAGCGUCCCUUCAUUUAAUUUUUUACAUCUUCUAUUGAAAAUAGAUUCUGUCAUUUUAUUUAAAGUGAGGAUUUAUUCAUUUUAGUAAUAAAAUGAAAUCUGUGAAAAUUCA